This 260-nucleotide ribosomal RNA is filed under the name uncultured prokaryote. RNAcentral describes it as "partial 16S ribosomal RNA". It matches the Rfam family "Bacterial small subunit ribosomal RNA", at positions 524 to 782 of the family's 1533-position model. The record is from RNAcentral.
UACGUAGGUGGCGAGCGUUGUCCGGAUUUACUGGGCGUAAAGAGCUCGUAGGUGGUUUGUCGCGUCGUCUGUGAAAUUCCGGGGCUUAACUUCGGGCGUGCAGGCGAUACGGGCAAUACUUGAGUGCUGUAGGGGAGACUGGAAUUCCUGGUGUAGCGGUGGAAUGCGCAGAUAUCAGGAGGAACACCGAUGGCGAAGGCAGGUCUCUGGGCAGUAACUGACGCUGAGGAGCGAAAGCAUGGGUAGCGAACAGGAUUAGA